This 913-nucleotide ribosomal RNA is filed under the name uncultured archaeon. RNAcentral describes it as "bacterial SSU rRNA". It matches the Rfam family "Archaeal small subunit ribosomal RNA", at positions 1 to 922 of the family's 1478-position model. The record is from RNAcentral.
UUCCGGUUGAUCCUGCCGGAGGCUACCGCUAUUGGAGUUCGAUUAAGCCAUGCGAGUCUAGAGGCCUAGCCUCGGCGUACCGCUCAGUAACACGUGGGUAACCUACCCUAUGCUGGGGGAUAAGCUCGGGAAACUGAGAAUAAUACCCCAUAGUCCACUACGCCUGGAACGGUGAGUGGAUCAAAGCUCCGGCGGCAUAGGAUGGGCCUGCGGCGUAUCAGGUUGUAGGGGGUGUAAUGUACCCUCUAGCCAUCUACGCGUACGGGUGUUGGGAGACAUUGCCCGGAGAUGGAUUCUGAGACACGAAUCCAGACCCUACGGGGUGCAGCAGGCGCGAAAACUUGGCAAUGCGAGAAAUCGUGACCAGGGAACUCCAAGUGGCAGGGGUAAGACCCUGUCUUUUUCCGACUCUAAAUAGGUCGGCGAAUAAGGGGUGGGUAAGGACGGUGCCAGCCGCCGCGGUAAUACCGGCGCCUCAAGUGGUAGUCGCUUUUAUUGGGCCUAAAACGUCCGUAGCCGGUCUGGUACAUUCGUGGGUAAAUCAACUCGCUCAACGAGUUGAAUUCUGCGAGGACGGCCAGACUUGGGACCGGGAGAGGUGUGGGGUACUCUCAGGGUAGGGGUAAAAUCCUGUCAUCCUGAGAGGACCACCUGUUGCGAAGGCUCCACACUAGAACGGGUCCGACGGUCAGGGACGAAGCCUAGGGGCACGAACCGGAUUAGAUACCCGGGUAGUCCUAGGUGUAAACGCUGUGGACUUGAUGUUGGGGACGCUCCGAGCGUUCUCAGUGUCGAAGCGAAGGUGAUAAGUCCACUGCCUGGGGAGUACGGUCGCAAGGCUGAAACUUAAAGGAAUUGGCGGGGGAGCACCGCAACCUGAGGAUUGUGCGGUUUAAUUGGAUUCAACGCCGGA